GUGUUGGUUUAAUGACCUUGUAAAAAAUACAUAAAGUGUCAUUAUUAUUUUUUUAGAAGCAUGGUAAAAUAUAUAUCAGUUCAUGGGGGAAAAUGAAGGUGCUAUGAGUUAAUGUAUACAUGCAAAGUUGGUUAUUAAAAACUUAAAUUGCAAUAGGUGGUGAUUUUGGAAAAUUGAUUAUUGAUUUAAACGCAUUCUUAUAACGUGGGAAACUUCAUAGUUUUAGGGGAAACUAUGGCGAAUUUUUCUAAAAAUCUAAUCGCGAUUAAAGAGAGGAUUAAAGGGUGAUUAACAAUGUUAAACACGAUUAGUGGUCAUAAACGUCAUUUUGGAAACUCUAAGGAGGAUAUUUAAGUCUUAAAUAUUUAAUAAGUUUAUGAACUUAAACUUAUUUUUACAAAAAUAAAUGGGUGAAAAUAUAACAUUGUGUAAAUAUAAUUUCUGGUAAGAAAAACUAUAUAUUUUCGAAAACUUGCCAAGUGCUUGCAAUGUGUGCUAUGUAUGUGUAUGUAUUAGAUACCUAUAGGGUGAUCAAAAUAAAUACACGUACAUGUUUCUACAUGGUCCAAGAAAUGAUAGUAAAAGCAAAUCGGACAAUUAAAUAAAAUGGCCGAAAUGGAAAUACAUAACUCUUGAUGACGACAAUUUGGGCGUAUCGACAUCAUAAACAAGUUACUAUAAUGUCGAGUCUAAAAAUAACAUAUUUUUAGACACUAAAGCGAACGCAUAACUAAGUGGUCAAAAACAAGAAUCUGGAAAGUCGAAAACUAUACAAAUUUCCAAGUAUUUUUCAUAUGAAAAAUGAACUUAUUUAAAGUUUACUACUUGGUAACAUUUUGGUAAAAAUUGCAAGAUCAUGUUAAUGGACUCAUAAAGUUAGAAUUGGGCUUAUCAAAGCUAGUAAUGAGCUAGGCCCAAAUUCCUUAAUACAUGGGCUAUGGCCCAAUGACAAUAUGACAUGGGCUCGGCCCAAUGGCAUGAGCAAGGGCUCAAUUACACGUGUGCGCGGCACGAAGACAUAUGAAGGGUGAAGCCCGUUCACCUAUAAUUCAAUACGUAUAGAAUACAUGUAUGUACAUAACAAUCGAGCGAGUAAACUAUCAACGCUCUAAAAUACAAAGUUGUUCCAAAGAUGACAAACGAGAACAUAAUAAAGAAUUCAAGAUGAAUAACUUGUACGAGGUCCGAAAGACCUAGUGUCUAACGAGAUUAGUGCACAUGUCGGUUAUUGACACGUACGGACGCUCACUUCGAUAUCAUAGUACACGGAACGCAAACUUGUGAGUUCAUGUCCCCCCUUUUCUCUUAACUGUUUUCGGAUUUAUAACUCUCGGGGGUGAAAUACAUGUUACAUAUAUUUCAAAGGUAUGAUUUGGCUAUGAAAUGAACUAUUAGAUCAUGUGAGCAUAGGCUGAAACUGAAAUGCCAAUAACUCUAAUAAGAAACAUGGACAAAGGUUAGAUCUAACGGGUACGGCCGAGCCCCACUCAUGGUCCAUUUAUGACUACUUAGAGUGCUUUUGUGUCCCAGUCGAGGUGAUUCGACAACGGUCAAGGGGAUUUGACACAGUCAAGGUGAUUUGACACAGUCGAGGUGAUUCGACACAGUCGAGGUGAUUCGACACAGUCGAGGGGAUUCGACACAGUCGAGGGGAUUCGACACUAAUAAUAGCCCACUUGGGUUGGGUACUCCCUAUGUUUUCACAUAUAUUUAAUGUCCUUGCAAAACAUUAAUUGAUCUAUUCAUAGACGCUUUACAUACUUGUUUUCAAAGGAAUCUCUCAAAUGUUUACAAGUUUAUUGGAACUCAUACAAAACGCAUGAACUCGCUCAAGUUUUGUUGACUUUUUAAAACUACAUGUAUUUCAGGAAACAAGUCUUGAGCCGGUGAUACAUGAUUGGAUGCAAUGAUUACCUUUCUUACGUCACACGCAACACGCUUCCGCAACUAGCAGGGUGUGACAUAUAGACCAAGGGUGAAGAAGAGAAAAGGGAGGUGUGUAUCAAUGGUAUGCAAAAAGUGGAGGAUGAGUACUGGAGAAGAUGAUGGGAAUUUAGGGGUUUUGUGAUGUAAAUGAGUAUUAAUUUGUUUUUAAUAUGUGUUAGUAAAAGGGAAGGGGAAAUUACCAUAUUAAUUAC
This 2138-nucleotide long non-coding RNA is filed under the name Helianthus annuus (common sunflower). Its description in RNAcentral is "hypothetical non coding rna". The record is from RNAcentral. Lineage: Eukaryota; Viridiplantae; Streptophyta; Magnoliopsida; Asterales; Asteraceae.